RNAcentral lists this ribosomal RNA (468 nucleotides) under uncultured bacterium. RNAcentral's name for it is "partial 16S ribosomal RNA". It matches the Rfam family "Bacterial small subunit ribosomal RNA", at positions 28 to 507 of the family's 1533-position model. The record is from RNAcentral.
GACGAACGCUGGCGGCGCGCCUAACACAUGCAAGUCGAACGGAGUCAAGAGGAGCUUGCUUUUCUUGACUUAGUGGCGAACGGGUGAGUAACGCGUGAGUAACCUGCCCUGGAGUGGGGGACAACAGUUGGAAACGACUGCUGAUACCGCAUAAGCCCACGGAUCCGCAUGGAUCUGCGGGAAAAGGAUUUAUUCGCUUCAGGAUGGACUCGCGUCCAAUUAGCUAGUUGGUGAGGUAACGGCCCACCAAGGCGACGAUUGGUAGCCGGACUGAGAGGUUGAACGGCCACAUUGGGACUGAGACACGGCCCAGACUCCUACGGGAGGCAGCAGUGGGGGAUAUUGCACAAUGGGGGAAACCCUGAUGCAGCGACGCCGCGUGGAGGAAGAAGGUUUUCGGAUUGUAAACUCCUGUCGUUAGGGACGAUAAUGACGGUACCUAACAAGAAAGCACCGGCUAACUACGUG